UCCCUGGUAGCUUAGAUGGUAAAGCAUCUGCCUACAACGUGGGAGACCUGGGUUUGAUCCCCGGGUUGGGGAG
Molecule: non-coding RNA, 73 nt
Organism: Ovis aries (sheep)
Lineage: Eukaryota; Metazoa; Chordata; Mammalia; Artiodactyla; Bovidae
Source: Rfam